GACGAACGCUGGCGGCGUGCUUAACACAUGCAAGUCGAACGGAAAGGCCCUGCUUUUGUGGGGUGCUCGAGUGGCGAACGGGUGAGUAACACGUGAGUAACCUGCCCUUGACUUUGGGAUAACUUCAGGAAACUGGGGCUAAUACCGGAUAGGAGCUCCUGCUGCAUGGUGGGGGUUGGAAAGUUUCGGCGGUUGGGGAUGGACUCGCGGCUUAUCAGCUUGUUGGUGGGGUAGUGGCUUACCAAGGCUUUGACGGGUAGCCGGCCUGAGAGGGUGACCGGGCACAAUGGGACGGGGAGUAGGCCCCGACUCCUACCGGAGGCAGGAGUGGGGAAUAUUGCACAAUGGGCGGAAGCCUGAUGCAGCAACGCCGCGUGCGGGAUGACGGCCUUCGGGUUGUAAACCGCUUUCGCCUGUGACGAAGCGUGAGUGACGGUAAUGGGUAAAGAAGCACCGGCUAACUACGUG
This 468-nucleotide ribosomal RNA is filed under the name uncultured bacterium. RNAcentral's name for it is "partial 16S ribosomal RNA". It matches the Rfam family "Bacterial small subunit ribosomal RNA", at positions 28 to 507 of the family's 1533-position model. The record is from RNAcentral.